RNAcentral lists this ribosomal RNA (864 nucleotides) under uncultured bacterium. Its description in RNAcentral is "bacterial SSU rRNA". It matches the Rfam family "Bacterial small subunit ribosomal RNA", at positions 629 to 1504 of the family's 1533-position model. The record is from RNAcentral.
AAAACUUUUCAGCUAGAGUUUGAUAGAGGAAAGCAGAAUUUCUAGUGUAGAGGUGAAAUUCGUAGAUAUUAGAAAGAAUACCAAUUGCGAAGGCAGCUUUCUGGAUCAUUACUGACACUGAGGAACGAAAGCAUGGGUAGCGAAGAGGAUUAGAUACUCUCGUAGUCCAUGCCGUAAACGAUGUGUGUUAGACGUUGGAAAUUUAUUUUCAGUGUCGCAGCGAAAGCGAUAAACACACCGCCUGGGGAGUACGACCGCAAGGUUAAAACUCAAAUGAAUUGACGGGGACCCGCACAAGUAGUGGAGCAUGUGGUUUAAUUCGAAGAUACGCGCAGAACCUUACCAACACUUGACAUGUUCGUCGCGACUUUAAGAGAUUAGAGUUUUCGGUUCGGCCGGACGAAACACAGGUGCUGCAUGGCUGUCGUCAGCUCGUGUCGUGAGAUGUUGGGUUAAGUCCCGCAACGAGCGCAACCCUCACUUUUAGUUGCCAUCAUUUAGUUGGGCACUCUGAAAGAACUGCCAGUGAUAAGCUGGAGGAAGGUGGGGAUGACGUCAAGUCCUCAUGGCCCUUACGUGUUGGGCUACACACGUGCUACAAUGGUAUCUACAACAGGAAGCAAGACUGCGAAGUUUAGCAAAUCCUUAAAAGAUACCUCAGUUCGGAUUGCACUCUGCAACUCGAGUGCAUGAAGCUGGAAUUACUAGUAAUCGUGGAUCAGCGUGCCACGGUGAAUGCGUUCCCGGGUCUUGUACACACCGCCCGUCACACCAUGGGAGUUGGUUCUACCUUAAGGCAAGGCUUUAAACCCUUGACCACGGUAUAGUCAGCGACUGGGGUAAAGUCGUAACAAGGUAACCGUA